This is a long non-coding RNA of Piliocolobus tephrosceles (Ugandan red Colobus), 1277 nucleotides long. RefSeq lists it as uncharacterized. The transcript is spliced from 4 exons. NCBI's taxonomy places the organism in Eukaryota, Metazoa, Chordata, Mammalia, Primates, Cercopithecidae. The record is from RefSeq and is a predicted model, not a curated record.
GCUGAGCUCUCAGGCGAUGCCACGUGGAAUCCAGGCGAGACAGUCAGCACCGCCUCCAUCUGAUGUGUCAGUCUGAAGGCAGUGUUACAUGUCGCAUCUAUUAGGCACUGGCCCCACACAGAACACAUGGGAAAUCUGGAUACAAUGACAGACACAUAUGGAGGGAAGAAGAUGUGAAGACAGAAGAGCAUCAUCGACAAGCCAUGGAAUGGCAGAAGCCACCAGCAGCUGAGAGACAGGCCUACACAGACGCUCCCCAUAGCCCUCAGAAUGAGCCAGCCCUGCUGACACCUUGAUCUCAGGCGUCCAGCCUCCAGGAACGAAUCCCUGUAUCAUAGAAGGGAUGAAAAACCCUCUACUCCUUCCUCACUGAGCUGCAGUGUCUGAGGUGGACAAAACCCUGGGAGAGGCGACGAUCUCUGCACAGCAGCAGAGGCAUCAGCACGUCGGCAUCCUGCCUUGCCAUCCUCCGGGGACUACUGGAGACAGCUGGGGCGAGGACUAGAGGAGGAGUGAAGAAAAGGCAUCUGACCACUAAGACCACCCAGUGCUAGUCGACCCAGACGUCCCGUUCUCCCUGCUGCUUCACUCCACCCCACACCCUCAAUCUGACUCUGAGCUCCGCUGGAAAGGCCUUCCCUGUGCUGGAAAAGUGGAGGGCAGGACCCACGGCCUCCGAUGCCCACCUCAGGAAGGCGGAGGAUGGAGAGAGUCCAUCCGCCAACUCAAGCUUUGUGACCCCACACCGGCUAAAGACCAGACAGGAAUGAGCGCAUGCAGGCAUAUCGGAGACAAAUAAUCAGACUGCCUUUCUGCGUCACGUGGUGUGUGGCAGUCUCCUCCUCCCCACACGCGGGUGCGUGGCCGCAACUGCCUGAAUGCCAGCUGCCUUCCCGCGGUCCAGCCCUAAGGUUGGUAGGAACCAGCUCGAAAUCAUUUUGUGCACUUCUCCCUAACUACAGGAAGACCUCUGGUUCAAUAAAUUCAUUCGGCACUAAGUAAAAAUUUUAAACCUGGUUUUCCUCUUAAAGUUACCGAUCUACCCUGACUGAACUCAGAAACUCUGCCAAAAAAAAAAAAAAAAACUAUUGAGCUAAAUUAUUAUACACCCAUUGAAAAUUUGAGUAUGAGUAUAUGAAGUGAUUAAAUGCUCAUCUAGUAGAAAAUUUUGAGGCAUCUACUGUAUAUUCUUUAAAGUAAUAAUAGACCAUAAGGGCCUUCCUCCUGAGAGCCAAUCAUGUAGUGUGUUAAUUCUCAACAUGAACUACCUCUCAGCA